This 195-nucleotide small nuclear RNA is filed under the name Prunus persica (peach). Its description in RNAcentral is "snRNA U2". It matches the Rfam family "U2 spliceosomal RNA". Rfam says of the family: U2 is a small nuclear RNA (snRNA) component of the spliceosome (involved in pre-mRNA splicing). Complementary binding between U2 snRNA (in an area lying towards the 5' end but 3' to hairpin I) and the branchpoint sequence (BPS) of the intron results the bulging out of an unpaired adenosine, on the BPS, which initiates a nucleophilic attack at the intronic 5' splice site, thus starting the first of two transesterification reactions that mediate splicing. Lineage: Eukaryota; Viridiplantae; Streptophyta; Magnoliopsida; Rosales; Rosaceae. The record is from Rfam by way of RNAcentral.
AUACCUUUCUCGGCCUUUUGGCUAAGAUCAAGUGUAGUAUCUGUUCUUAUCAGUUUAAUAUCUGAUAUGUGGGUCAAUGAUCCACACGGUAUUAAAUUAAUUUCUUUACGGGGGAGAGUCCAUUACAAUAGCUUGCUAUUGGGGCUCUCAAGUGUCCCAAGCGUUGCACUAUUGCAUGGGCCUGGUGCACCCCAC